This 253-nucleotide ribosomal RNA is filed under the name uncultured bacterium. RNAcentral describes it as "partial 16S ribosomal RNA". It matches the Rfam family "Bacterial small subunit ribosomal RNA", at positions 524 to 776 of the family's 1533-position model. The record is from RNAcentral.
UACGAAGGGGGCUAGCGUUGUUCGGAAUUACUGGGCGUAAAGCGCGCGUAGGCGGUUUUCCAAGUCGGGCGUGAAAGCCCCGGGCUCAACCCGGGAAAUGCGCUCGAAACUUGAAGACUGGAGGCCGGAAGAGGGUAGUGGAAUUCCCAGUGUAGAGGUGAAAUUCGUAGAUAUUGGGAAGAACACCGGUGGCGAAGGCGGCCAUCUGGCCUGCAAUUGACGCUGAGGCGCGAAAGCGUGGGUAGCAAACAGG